CCUACGGGUGGCAGCAGUGGGGAAUAUUGGACAAUGGGCGAAAGCCUGAUCCAGCCAUGCCGCGUGUGUGAAGAAGGCCUUCGGGUUGUAAAGCACUUUCAGUGGGGAAGAAAGCCUUGGGGCUAAUACCCUCGAGGAAGGACAUCACCCACAGAAGAAGCACCGGCUAACUCCGUGCCAGCAGCCGCGGUAAUACGGAGGGUGCGAGCGUUAAUCGGAAUUACUGGGCGUAAAGCGCGCGUAGGCGGUCUGAUAAGCCGGUUGUGAAAGCCCCGGGCUCAACCUGGGAACGGCAUCCGGAACUGUCAGGCUAGAGUGCAGGAGAGGAAGGUAGAAGUCCCGGUGUAGCGGUGAAAUGCGUAGAGAUCGGGAGGAAUACCAGUGGCGAAGGCGGCCUUCUGGACUGACACUGACGCUGAGGUGCGAAAGCGUGGGUAGCAAACAGGAUUAGAUACCCUGUAGUC
This 464-nucleotide ribosomal RNA is filed under the name Vreelandella stevensii. RNAcentral describes it as "partial 16S ribosomal RNA". It matches the Rfam family "Bacterial small subunit ribosomal RNA", at positions 338 to 795 of the family's 1533-position model. The record is from RNAcentral. Lineage: Bacteria; Pseudomonadati; Pseudomonadota; Gammaproteobacteria; Oceanospirillales; Halomonadaceae.